This 429-nucleotide ribosomal RNA is filed under the name Chloroflexota bacterium. Its description in RNAcentral is "Chloroflexi bacterium partial 16S ribosomal RNA". It matches the Rfam family "Bacterial small subunit ribosomal RNA", at positions 355 to 776 of the family's 1533-position model. Lineage: Bacteria; Bacillati; Chloroflexota. The record is from RNAcentral.
UAGGGAAUCUUCGGCAAUGGACGAAAGUCUGACCGAGCAACGCCGCGUGAGUGAAGAAGGUUUUUGGAUCGUAAAACUCUGUUGUUAGAGAAGAACAAGGACGUUAGUAACUGAACGUCCCCUGACGGUAUCUAACUAGAAAGCCACGGCUAACUACGUGCCAGCAGCCGCGGUAAUACGUAGGUGGCAAGCGUUGUCCGGAUUUAUUGGGCGUAAAGUGAGCGCAGGCGGUUUCUUAAGUCUGAUGUGAAAGCCCCCGGCUCAACCGGGGAGGGGCAUUGGAAACUGUGAGACUUGAGUGCAGAAGAGGAGAGUGGAAUUCCAUGUGUAGCGGUGAAAUGCGUAGAUAUAUGGAGGAACACCAGUGGCGAAGGCGGCUCUCUGGGCUGUAACAGACGCUGAGGGUCGAAAGCGUGGGGAGCAAACAGG